GCCGGAUCAACGCAUCUCUGAGCGCUUAGUUUCGAAGAUCGGCCCUGAACGCCGGAUGAAUGGCAGGCAAC
This 71-nucleotide small RNA is filed under the name Sinorhizobium meliloti 2011. RNAcentral's name for it is "putative ncRNA". Lineage: Bacteria; Pseudomonadati; Pseudomonadota; Alphaproteobacteria; Hyphomicrobiales; Rhizobiaceae. The record is from RNAcentral.